This is a long non-coding RNA of Aphidius gifuensis, 174 nucleotides long. RefSeq lists it as uncharacterized. The transcript is spliced from 2 exons. NCBI's taxonomy places the organism in Eukaryota, Metazoa, Arthropoda, Insecta, Hymenoptera, Braconidae. The record is from RefSeq and is a predicted model, not a curated record.
AGUGUACGUGUCAACUGUCAAGUGUCAUUGAUUGUUAUUAAUUUUCUUUUGCAAAUUGUUUUUAAUUAAAUGAUAAAUAAAAUACAAUUAAUAUAGAAAUUGGAUAAGAGAAUUUAACAGCAACAAAACUGAUAACAAGAUGCGUCAAUUAAAAGGAAAAACAAAAGAAACAAA